GACUUUUCCUGGUAGCGCAGUGGUUAGCGCGCCCGAUUCACAUUCGGGAGGGCCCGGGUUCGAAUCCCAUGUCAGGUCA
Molecule: non-coding RNA, 79 nt
Organism: Scylla paramamosain (green mud crab)
Lineage: Eukaryota; Metazoa; Arthropoda; Malacostraca; Decapoda; Portunidae
Source: the annotation of a RefSeq genome assembly